GAACGACCCGCGAAUCGUCAUUGCGUACUAGACAGAGCCCAAGAGCACCUAUCGCGUCGUGUCGGCGCGGGUGUCCUCGAGACCCGCGUCGUACCGGCGGACAAACAAUGUCAGCACGGAUCGUGCCAAGGAGCUUUAUUGAGAGAAUCGUCGUCCCACGCCUUUGAUAGUCCUCGAUGCGCGACGGGGGGCGGGGGACGUACGCAAUCUCUACCCAAAGUCUAAACGACUCUCGGCAACGGAUAUCUCGGCUCUUGCAUCGAUGAAGAACGUAGCGAAAUGCGAUACUGGUGUGAAUUGCAGAAUCCCGCGAACCAUCAAUUCUUUGAACGCAAGUUGCGCCCGAAGCCUUACGGCCGAGGGCACGCCUGCCUGGGUGUCGUGAAUCCCCUUGCCCCUAGGCACCCGCAUGAGCAUUGGCGGGUAUUAUGCUCGGGCGCAGAAUGUGGUCUCCCGUUGGACUGGCAUGCACGGCAUGUCGAGGUGCGGUUGGCCGAAAAUCGAGCAUGGCGGUGACGGGCACCACGGCGUUCGGUGGAUCGAAUGAGAUUGGCUGCGCCGUGGGCUCGGCAUGCGGCGGGCUCUGGACUUUGAAUUCCCCGAGUGCGAUCCCAGGUCAGGCGGGGCUACCCGCUGAGUUUAAG
This 644-nucleotide ribosomal RNA is filed under the name Miconia guadalupensis. Its description in RNAcentral is "eukaryotic LSU rRNA". The stretch from base 228 to 382 matches the Rfam family "5.8S ribosomal RNA". Lineage: Eukaryota; Viridiplantae; Streptophyta; Magnoliopsida; Myrtales; Melastomataceae. The record is from RNAcentral.